RNAcentral lists this ribosomal RNA (510 nucleotides) under uncultured bacterium. RNAcentral's name for it is "bacterial SSU rRNA". It matches the Rfam family "Bacterial small subunit ribosomal RNA", at positions 9 to 518 of the family's 1533-position model. The record is from RNAcentral.
GGGUUCGAUUCUGGCUCAGGAUGAACGCUGGCGGCGUGCCUAACACAUGCAAGUCGAACGAAGCACUGGAAACGGAGAUUCGUCAAAGUUCCUUGACUUAGUGGCGGACGGGUGAGUAAUGCGUGAGCAACCUGCCUUUCAGAGGGGGACAACAGUUGGAAACGACUGCUAAUACCGCAUAAUGUAUUUAGGAGGCAUCUCCCGGAUACCAAAGGAGCAAUCCGCUGAAAGAUGGGCUCACGUCUGAUUAGCUAGUUGGUGAGGUAACGGCUCACCAAGGCUGCGAUCAGUAGCCGGACUGAGAGGUUGAACGGCCACAUUGGGACUGAGAUACGGCCCAGACUCCUACGGGAGGCAGCAGUGGGGAAUAUUGGGCAAUGGGCGAAAGCCUGACCCAGCAACGCCGCGUGAAGGAAGAAGGUCUUCGGAUUGUAAACUUCUUUUAUGAGGGACGAAGGACGUGACGGUACCUCAUGAAUAAGCCACGGCUAACUACGUGCCAGCAGCCGC